Molecule: ribosomal RNA, 576 nt
Filed under: uncultured bacterium
Lineage: Bacteria
Description: partial 16S ribosomal RNA
Rfam family: Bacterial small subunit ribosomal RNA
Source: RNAcentral
UGGGGAAUUUUGGACAAUGGGCGAAAGCCUGAUCCAGCAAUGCCGCGUGUGUGAAGAAGGCCUUCGGGUUGUAAAGCACUUUUGUCCGGAAAGAAAUCCUUGGCUCUAAUACAGUCGGGGGAUGACGGUACCGGAAGAAUAAGCACCGGCUAACUACGUGCCAGCAGCCGCGGUAAUACGUAGGGUGCAAGCGUUAAUCGGAAUUACUGGGCGUAAAGCGUGCGCAGGCGGUUUGCUAAGACCGAUGUGAAAUCCCGGGCUCAACCUGGGAACUGCAUUGGUGACUGGCAGGCUAGAGUAUGGCAGAGGGGGGUAGAAUUCCACGUGUAGCAGUGAAAUGCGUAGAGAUGUGGAGGAAUACCGAUGGCGAAGGCAGCCCCCUGGGCCAAUACUGACGCUCAUGCACGAAAGCGUGGGGAGCAAACAGGAUUAGAUACCCUGGUAGUCCACGCCCUAAACGAUGUCAACUAGUUGUGGGGAUUCAUUUCCUAGUAACGUAGCUAACGCGUGAAGUUGACCGCCUGGGGAGUACGGUCGCAAGAUUAAAACUCAAAUGAAUUGACGGGGUCAUAGCUG